Long non-coding RNA from Cyprinus carpio (common carp), 535 nucleotides. The record is from Ensembl. NCBI's taxonomy places the organism in Eukaryota, Metazoa, Chordata, Actinopteri, Cypriniformes, Cyprinidae.
CAAGAUGACUUCAUACACGUGGAUUUUACUCAUUCUGGCAAGUCUUGUGGCAACAAAAGCGCAAGAUUUUGACCUCAGUGAUGCUUUUUAUGAGGCUGACAAGCCCCCUCCGAAGCCAACAGUGAAACCAGCCCCACCGAAAAACCCAGAUUCAGGAUUUGAUAUUUCAGAUGCCUUCAAUUUGGAUAAAAAUAAACCAUCUGGAGUUGACCUCGAUCUGUCUAUUGCAUUUGCUCCAGAUUUGGACCUCGCUGAUGUUUUGGAUGGUGCUGACAAGCAGGGUAGGGGAGCACAGGGUGGUGAGGAGACUCUCAGCGCAGAGUCUGCAGCGGCUAUGGAGUGUCAGAAGGUCCACAGCAUGAGUGCACCCCGACCGCAUGGCACGGGUGGAAGUGGCCACGUGCUGACUGAGGGUGUCCUUCAGACACAGAGAGAUACAACUGAUGCAAUUACAGUCAUAGCAGAUGAGCUUAAGCAAAUAAAGGUUGUGUUGUGUGACAUUGCAUCUACAUUAAAAGAUCUUGUUAAAAAAUGA